AGCGGAACGAGUUAUCUGAACCUUCGGGGAACGAUAACGGCGUCGAGCGGCGGACGGGUGAGUAAUGCCUAGGAAAUUGCCCUGAUGUGGGGGAUAACCAUUGGAAACGAUGGCUAAUACCGCAUGAUGCCUACGGGCCAAAGAGGGGGACCUUCGGGCCUCUCGCGUCAGGAUAUGCCUAGGUGGGAUUAGCUAGUUGGUGAGGUAAGGGCUCACCAAGGCGACGAUCCCUAGCUGGUCUGAGAGGAUGAUCAGCCACACUGGAACUGAGACACGGUCCAGACUCCUACGGGAGGCAGCAGUGGGGAAUAUUGCACAAUGGGCGCAAGCCUGAUGCAGCCAUGCCGCGUGUGUGAAGAAGGCCUUCGGGUUGUAAAGCACUUUCAGUCGUGAGGAAGGUGGUGUUGUUAAUAGCUGCAUUAUUUGACGUUAGCGACAGAAGAAGCACCGGCUAACUCCGUGCCAGCAGCCGCGGUAAUACGGAGGGUGCGAGCGUUAAUCGGAAUUACUGGGCGUAAAGCGCAUGCAGGUGGUUUGUUAAGUCAGAUGUGAAAGCCCGGGGCUCAACCUCGGAAUAGCAUUUGAAACUGGCAGACUAGAGUACUGUAGAGGGGGGUAGAAUUUCAGGUGUAGCGGUGAAAUGCGUAGAGAUCUGAA
Molecule: ribosomal RNA, 657 nt
Filed under: Vibrio alginolyticus
Lineage: Bacteria; Pseudomonadati; Pseudomonadota; Gammaproteobacteria; Vibrionales; Vibrionaceae
Description: bacterial SSU rRNA
Rfam family: Bacterial small subunit ribosomal RNA
Source: RNAcentral